Molecule: non-coding RNA, 646 nt
Filed under: Clostridium sp. CAG:302
Lineage: Bacteria; Bacillati; Bacillota; Clostridia; Eubacteriales; Clostridiaceae
Description: Bacterial small subunit ribosomal RNA
Rfam family: Bacterial small subunit ribosomal RNA
Source: Rfam by way of RNAcentral
ACGGUCGCAAGGCUGAAACUCAAAGGAAUUGACGGGCACCCGCACAAGCGGUGGAGCAUGCUGUUUAAUUCGAAGAUACGCGAAGAACCUUACCUAGACUUGACAUCCCUGGCAAAGCUAUAGAAAUAUAGUGGAGGUUACCCAGGUGACAGGUGGUGCAUGGUUGUCGUCAGCUCGUGUCGUGAGAUGUUCGGUUAAGUCCGCUAACGAGCGCAACCCUUAUCCUUAGUUGCUAACAUUUAGUUGAGAACCCUAAGGAGACUGCCGGUGACAAACCGGAGGAAGGUGGGGAUGACGUCAAAUCAUCAUGCCCCUUACGUCUAGGGCUACAGGCGUGCUAUAAUGGCUGGUACAAUGAGACGCAAUACUGUGAAGUGAAGCAAAUCUAUAAAGCCAGUCUCAGUUCGGAUUGAAGUCUGCAACUCGACUUCAUGAAGCUAGAAUCGCUAGUAAUCCCAAAUCAGAAUGUUGGGGUGAAUACGUUCCCGGGUGUUGUACACACCGCCCGUCAUGCCAUGAAAGUUUGUAAUACCCGAAUGUGGUAGCCUAACCUUUUAGGAGGGGGCCAUUUAAGGUAGGACAAGUGAUUGGGGUAAAGUCGUAACAAGGUAUCCCUACGAGAACGUGGGGAUGGAUCACCUCCUUU